RNAcentral lists this ribosomal RNA (351 nucleotides) under uncultured bacterium. RNAcentral's name for it is "bacterial SSU rRNA". It matches the Rfam family "Bacterial small subunit ribosomal RNA", at positions 29 to 409 of the family's 1533-position model. The record is from RNAcentral.
AACGAACGCUGGCGGCAGGCCUAACACAUGCAAGUCGAACGCUCCGCAAGGGGAGUGGCGCACGGGUGAGUAACACGUGGGAACCUACCUUCUGGUACGGAACAACCAAGGGAAACUCUGGCUGAUACCGUAUACGACCUCCGGGUGAAAGAUUGAUCGCCGGAAGAGGGGCCCGCGUCCGAUUAGGUAGUUGGUGAGGUAACGGCUCACCAAGCCUGCGAUCGGUAGCUGGUCUGAGAGGAUGACCAGCCACACUGGGACUGAGACACGGCCCAGACUCCUACGGGAGGCAGCAGUGGGGAAUAUUGGACAAUGGGCGCAAGCCUGAUCCAGCCAUGCCGCGUGAGUGAU